UACGUAGGCAGCAAGCGUUGUUCGGAAUUACUAGGCGUAAAGAGUGUGUAGGCGGUGCUCCAAGUCUGGUGUGAAAUCUCCCGGCUUAACUGGGAGGGUGCAUUAGAAACUGGAAUGCUAGAGGAUGGGAGAGGUAAGCGGAAUUCCUGGUGUAGCGGUGAAAUGCGUAGAUAUCAGGAGGAACACCUGUGGUGUAGACAGCUUACUGGACCAUUUCUGACGCUGAGACACGAAAGCGUGGGUAGCAAACAGG
Molecule: ribosomal RNA, 253 nt
Filed under: uncultured bacterium
Lineage: Bacteria
Description: partial 16S ribosomal RNA
Rfam family: Bacterial small subunit ribosomal RNA
Source: RNAcentral